This 415-nucleotide ribosomal RNA is filed under the name uncultured bacterium. Its description in RNAcentral is "bacterial SSU rRNA". It matches the Rfam family "Bacterial small subunit ribosomal RNA", at positions 29 to 469 of the family's 1533-position model. The record is from RNAcentral.
AGCGAACGCUGGCGGCAGGCUUAACACAUGCAAGUCGAGCGGGCAUCUUCGGAUGUCAGCGGCAGACGGGUGAGUAACACGUGGGAACGUACCCUUCGGUUCGGAAUAACGCUGGGAAACUAGCGCUAAUACCGGAUACGCCCUUUUGGGGAAAGGUUUACUGCCGAAGGAUCGGCCCGCGUCUGAUUAGCUAGUUGGUGGGGUAACGGCCUACCAAGGCGACGAUCAGUAGCUGGUCUGAGAGGAUGAUCAGCCACACUGGGACUGAGACACGGUCCAGACUCCUACGGGAGGCAGCAGUGGGGAAUUUUGGACAAUGGGCGAAAGCCUGAUCCAGCAAUGCCGCGUGAGUGAAGAAGGCCUUCGGGUUGUAAAGCUCUUUUGUCAGGGAAGAAACGGUGAAGGCUAAUAUCCU